AGAAUCGGAUUCAGACUCUGAAUUUGAAGCAUAUCUAGAUGACGACAAUGGCUGCUGCGCAUCUCUUAUGGCUAAAAUGAUGGCCAACAGUUUCUGUGAACAGCUAUGCCAACUGAACCACGCCUUUCGGAAGAACUGUCGUGUAGCAGUCAAAUCCCAGAACUUCUACUGGCUGGUCCUUCUUCUGGUGUUUCUCAACACUGCAGCCAGCGCCUCUGAACACUACGGCCAGCCCAAGUGGCUCACCGAGA
This is a long non-coding RNA of Oncorhynchus kisutch (coho salmon), 251 nucleotides long. RefSeq lists it as uncharacterized. NCBI's taxonomy places the organism in Eukaryota, Metazoa, Chordata, Actinopteri, Salmoniformes, Salmonidae. The record is from RefSeq and is a predicted model, not a curated record. The transcript has 3 exons.